This 68-nucleotide transfer RNA is filed under the name Vannielia litorea. RNAcentral describes it as "tRNA-Arg". It matches the Rfam family "tRNA". Rfam says of the family: Transfer RNA (tRNA) molecules are approximately 80 nucleotides in length. Their secondary structure includes four short double-helical elements and three loops (D, anti-codon, and T loops). Further hydrogen bonds mediate the characteristic L-shaped molecular structure. tRNAs have two regions of fundamental functional importance: the anti-codon, which is responsible for specific mRNA codon recognition, and the 3' end, to which the tRNAs corresponding amino acid is attached (by aminoacyl-tRNA synthetases). tRNAs cope with the degeneracy of the genetic code in two manners: having more than one tRNA (with a specific anti-codon) for a particular amino acid; and 'wobble' base-pairing, i.e. permitting non-standard base-pairing at the 3rd anti-codon position. Lineage: Bacteria; Pseudomonadati; Pseudomonadota; Alphaproteobacteria; Rhodobacterales; Paracoccaceae. The record is from RNAcentral.
GAUGUAGCUCAUUCGGGUAGAGCACCAGACUUCUAAUCUGGGUGUAGCGGGUUCGAAUCCCGCCAUCA